UACGGAGGGAGCUAGCGUUGUUCGGAAUUACUGGGCGUAAAGCGCACGUAGGCGGCUUUGUAAGUCAGAGGUGAAAGCCUGGAGCUCAACUCCAGAACUGCCUUUGAGACUGCAUCGCUUGAAUCCGGGAGAGGUGAGUGGAAUUCCGAGUGUAGAGGUGAAAUUCGUAGAUAUUCGGAAGAACACCAGUGGCGAAGGCGGCUCACUGGACCGGUAUUGACGCUGAGGUGCGAAAGUGUGGGGAGCGAACCGG
This 253-nucleotide ribosomal RNA is filed under the name uncultured bacterium. RNAcentral's name for it is "partial 16S ribosomal RNA". It matches the Rfam family "Bacterial small subunit ribosomal RNA", at positions 524 to 776 of the family's 1533-position model. The record is from RNAcentral.